CCUCUUUCUCCAGCUUCUCAGGGCCAGCUCUCCUGCCUGCUAAGACUCCGAAUUGCUAGGGUUUUCUUGCUAGACUUUUCUGAUGAGGAAACUGGAGCUCAGAGAGGGGAAAUGCCUCACCUGAGAACAGCCCUGUGGAGGAGUCACUGUGACCCCCGUCAGUGCCUGGACAAGAUAACUGAAGCUCAGAGUAAAACUUCAGUCGCAGGGGGAAGAGCGGCAGAGGUGGAGGGGCAGGAGCUACACGUGGACCACCGGGAGUGAGGCACAUCUGGGGGCUCGGGGGAGGCCGGGGCUGAGGCCCACGCUCCCUUGCUGGAAGGGAAGCUGGGCAAGCUGGGAGACCAGGCCCCUGCAGCUCCUGUCCCUGUCCACUGCUUCAGCCCGCCCGCACCCGGGCCCAUCUCUCCAGCCUUUGGCCGUCUCCCGGUCCUUGGCUGGUGAGGGGUAAGAAGAGGCCACUUGGCUCUGUAGAAUGGGGCCAGGCCCUCAGGUUGGAGCUGGACGUGCUGCCAGGCUCCUCCUCGGGCCUCUGGAGCCCCCUGCGAGCUCACAGAGACAGAAUGUGUUGAGUUCCCAAGUGGUUUCGUAUAAAGGCUAUGUGUUAACGGGAUCGAGGUGUUCUUCCAAGACCCAGAAUCCCCUGGGGUGCCACGUGGCAUGGAGGGAGGGAAGGUUCUGGGCGUCUCACCCCCUCUUUGGCUGGAGCAGCCUCCUUUUUCUGUCUCAUACGUCAUGAUGGUUUGUUUGAACAAGAGUUGCAUUGCUAAAAAACAUCACAAACAGCCAUGGCCUUCACCUUGCCCAGCUCUUUCUCUAGAAUCCAGAGGGAGACUGAGGCCACUCCAAACCACCCCCCACCUCCCCCAGCACUACCCCCUGUUUAUCCCAUGCCAUCUGUUUGGCCUGACUACCGCAGCAGAACAUGAGACGGUGUGGCCUCGCCCAUCGGCUAUGGAAGCCACUGACAUGCUUGUCUCGCGGCGGGGCCAUCCAGUCUUGUGAUGUGGCUGGAUGGGGGCCCAGAAGGUUUCUUCCACUAUAGAUGGGGCCCUCCCUUCCCGGAGGAAUCUUAGCAAAGACAUUGAGGUGGGACGUCAGGGAAUGACUCACUAGGCUGGCAGGUAGGGGUCAGCCUCCAGCUGUGGCCAGAGUGAUGGGGACAGCCAGCCUCUGCUACUCUAAGUCCCAGCCCCUCUCUCCGACCCUCCACUCUGCUUUGAGACGGUGAAACGGAAGGAACUUGUGCUUGUUUAUUUGUUUGAAGAGCAAAUGCUUUUUUUUUUUGAGAUCGUAUUAUGAUGGUAUAUGGAGGUAGGGAUUAUGCAAGGUUCUCUGGGGAAUUCAAGG
RNAcentral lists this long non-coding RNA (1350 nucleotides) under Equus caballus (horse). RNAcentral describes it as "lncRNA (ENSECAG00000057444.1)". The record is from RNAcentral. Lineage: Eukaryota; Metazoa; Chordata; Mammalia; Perissodactyla; Equidae.